UCUCAGGUGGCUCAGUGGUAAAGAAUCUGCCACCAAUGCAGAAGAUGCUGGUGAUGCAGGUUCGAUCCCUGCGUUGGGAA
RNAcentral lists this transfer RNA (80 nucleotides) under Bos taurus (domestic cattle). It matches the Rfam family "tRNA". From Rfam's summary of the family: Transfer RNA (tRNA) molecules are approximately 80 nucleotides in length. Their secondary structure includes four short double-helical elements and three loops (D, anti-codon, and T loops). The record is from Rfam by way of RNAcentral. RNAcentral also lists the same sequence under 5 other names. Lineage: Eukaryota; Metazoa; Chordata; Mammalia; Artiodactyla; Bovidae.